ACUGAGACUUAAAACUUUCUGUUCCUCGGGUGGGUUGCUUAAUAGACACAUCUGUUAACUCUCUUUAAAAACUGCUCUUCUACACAGGCAGCCUUUACCUGAGCUCCUGCAAUCUGCCCAUAAGGAAAGGGCUCCCUUUCUGCUGCAGAACUGGGAAAUUAGUUGGGGCACAGUAAAGAAGGAAGCAGUGUAGCCCUGAAGAGACCAGUUUGCUCCAUGUUUUUCUCUGGGCGCCAAAGAAGAGAUGAGAGUGUCUGCCAGAGGCAGUAAAGGAAAAAAAAUUCAACCUACCCUAUCCUAUAUGUGACUUGAGAAGUCAUCUCCAACUGCCUCAGCAAGAAGCUACUACUCAUCUUUCUAUAAAGCCACUGUCCCUACUUAGCUUUUCUUUCACCCACAUGUUUUUCAUGGAUCAGACACACUGCUGUUACUUUUCUUCUUACAAUCUCAGUAACAUUUGAAGAUGACCUGAGAUGGAAGUAAUUUAAUAAAACACAUUAUAGAAUUCAACUGCAGAGCCAGGAGCAAUUAGAAUAAUCUAAUAUUUUCCAUUACAAGACUGUUCUCGGUUACUUAUAGUUUUGCCAACCUUUAAUUUUUGGACUUAGAUUUUCUGUAUCAGGUAUGUGAUUCAGACAGAAAAUAUUUUUAGAAAGUUACAGCUGAGACAAUCCAAACACAUACUUAAAGAAAAAUACAUUUUACAUUAUCCAUGCCAAAAAACCCAAUCAAAACUCCAAAACUCAAUCCAAAAGAAAACCCAAGCUGCUUCACUCAAAUUUCUCCAAGAUGUGGAUGAGAAGACCAGGAAGACAUCUGGGAGGCAAAUUUGGCCAAGCCAUAAACUUCUGGAAAACUGCCUAACUACUAAUAAAACUUUGCACUAAGUAUGUUCAUAAUGUAGUUUUUCUAGUAGGAUAGGCACUGCUGGUGCUCUGUAUUUUCACAGAGUGUGUCUGAUCUGAUUGAAAGUUCAUGGCUUCUCCACAAAGCUAGGAUAAAUUUCAGGCUAUAGAACACUCUUCUAUUCAGGAACAGCAGAAAAAUGAUUAGAGGACAUUUUAACGUUUUGUAUAAGAGAUGCUGGACAGGAACCCACGCUACGGCACAGGGAAACAACACCUGCGAAGACCAUAUUGUGUUACCAUUAAAAUAAGGCAGCCAAGGAAGAGAAGGAGAAGG
Molecule: long non-coding RNA, 1182 nt
Organism: Parus major (Great Tit)
Lineage: Eukaryota; Metazoa; Chordata; Aves; Passeriformes; Paridae
Exons: 3
Source: RefSeq, a predicted model, not a curated record